RNAcentral lists this long non-coding RNA (1371 nucleotides) under Daucus carota (carrot). Its description in RNAcentral is "long non-coding RNA (DCAR_LNC006291)". The record is from RNAcentral. Lineage: Eukaryota; Viridiplantae; Streptophyta; Magnoliopsida; Apiales; Apiaceae.
UCAAGGACCUGCAAUUUUUAGAAGUUUCUGGGAUUGCUGCAUUGUUGCCUGAUUUCUUUGCCACCAUUCGGUAAAUUAUUUUGUUGGGGUUAUUAUGUUUUUAAUUUAUGCUUGGUGGCUUGGAUUAUUGGUCUGUAAUAGUUUUGGUGUGCUGGUUGUUAACUGUGGUUUUUGAAGAGGGAAGUUGUUAUUUGUUGGCUCUUUGCUGACCAUGUGGGGGUCUGGUGUAGAUUGCUUUUAUUUGUAGAUUAGUUGUGUUCGGAAGUGGCAUUGUCUUUGUGGUUUCAAAUUCCUAGUCAGGUUUGAUGCUUGACGAAUUCUGUUAUGAGUGUUGCUGUGAAGGAGUAUUUUUAUUUCUUGGCAGGGAGUUUUUUGUUGCUUUAGAGGUUUGGUAUAUAGGUUAUUCUCAGUGUUGCUAUGGCUGGGUUGUUCUGGGUCUCGUGUUCUUGUUGCUGCUGUGAUUGGGUUGUGCAGAUCGAGAUAUUUUUGGCUGAUUUUAGGAGAAUUUUAAUUUUCAGUCAUAUUGAUUAUUUGUUUGCUUUGACAGUUGCAGUUUCGACAAGCCAGGGGCGUUGUUGCUUGGGUGUUUCUAGUUAUGUGUAUUUUCUACAUGUUGUGUUUUUUCAUUGGAGUUAACCGUGGGUUUCAGGUAGAAUGCUAGUGUGCGUCCAGGGUGUUUUAGUGAAUUGUUUUUUAUCACACAGCUUGUUUUCAGUUCUUUAUUGUUGGGCUGGUGUAUGUUCUGCGGGUGGGAGUUUUAUUGUCUUGUCUUGGGAGACUUGCUUGCUGUGCUUAGUAGUCGUUUAUUUAAAGUAUUUCAGCUUCUUUUGUCUCGCAUGGGGGCCUGAUUUUGAGGGUUUUAAUGUUAAUCAAUUCUUCUGCUCCAUUUUAUGCUUCCGAGGCUGCUGUUAUUUUAUUGGUUCGGGUUCAGGAGUUGGCGUUUUAUUUGUAAAUCAAUAUAUCAGGUUCAUAACUUGGGUGGUAGCUCUCUUGAUUGAUUUAGAGGUGGAGCAGCUGUGUGGGAGGUCUGGCACUCAUAAAUCAUAAUCAGUGGAGUGAUUGCUUUUUAUCUAUAGGGAGGUGUUCACUUGUGUUCAUUAGGUUGGAUUUUUUUUUCUUUUCUCCGUUGGAGGCUUUGUAUUUUCAAUUUUUAGUUCUGUUUUGGUAUUGCCUCUUUGAGUGUUGUUCUUGGGGGGAUUUUUUUUAAGUGGACUCUUUGUAUAUUUUUUCUUUUUAUGUUAUAAAGUCAAUAUGAUGUGCCGUCCUCAUUUACCCAAAAAAAUAAUUACGGUUUUAGCUCCAAAUAUUUGAAAAACAAAGGAAACUAUUUUAAAUUAACAAGAUUGAUUAGUGUGUGUGUGUGUGAGAGAG